GGGCGCACGGUGGAUGCCUUGACACUAGGAGUCGAUGAAGGACGGGACUAACGCCGAUAUGCUUCGGGGAGCUGUAAGUAAGCUUUGAUCCGAAGAUUUCCGAAUGGGGAAACCCACCAUACGUAAUGGUAUGGUAUCCUUAUCUGAAUACAUAGGGUAAGGAAGACAGACCCAGGGAACUGAAACAUCUAAGUACCUGGAGGAAGAGAAAGCAAAUGCGAUUUCCUGAGUAGCGGCGAGCGAAACGGAACAUAGCCCAAACCAAGAGGCUUGCCUCUUGGGGUUGUAGGACAUUCUAUACGGAGUUACAAAGGAACGAGGUAGACGAAGCGACCUGGAAAGGUCCGUCGUAGAGGGUAACAACCCCGUAGUCGAAACUUCGUUCUCUCUUGAAUGUAUCCUGAGUACGGCGGAACACGUGAAAUUCCGUCGGAAUCUGGGAGGACCAUCUCCCAAGGCUAAAUACUCCCUAGUGAUCGAUAGUGAACCAGUACCGUGAGGGAAAGGUGAAAAGCACCCCGGAAGGGGAGUGAAAGAGAUCCUGAAACCGUGUGCCUACAAAUAGUCAGAGCCCGUUAACGGGUGAUGGCGUGCCUUUUGUAGAAUGAACCGGCGAGUUACGAUCCCGUGCGAGGUUAAGCUGAAGAGGCGGAGCCGCAGCGAAAGCGAGUCUGAAUAGGGCGUUUAGUACGUGGUCGUAGACCCGAAACCAGGUGAUCUACCCAUGUCCAGGGUGAAGUUCAGGUAACACUGAAUGGAGGCCCGAACCCACGCACGUUGAAAAGUGCGGGGAUGAGGUGUGGGUAGCGGAGAAAUUCCAAUCGAACCUGGAGAUAGCUGGUUCUCCCCGAAAUAGCUUUAGGGCUAGCCUUAAGUGUAAGAGUCUUGGAGGUAGAGCACUGAUUGGACUAGGGGUCCUCAUCGGAUUACCGAAUUCAGUCAAACUCCGAAUGCCAAUGACUUAUCCUUAGGAGUCAGACUGCGAGUGAUAAGAUCCGUAGUCAAAAGGGAAACAGCCCAGACCGCCAGCUAAGGUCCCAAAGUGUGUAUUAAGUGGAAAAGGAUGUGGAGUUGCUUAGACAACUAGGAUGUUGGCUUAGAAGCAGCCACCAUUUAAAGAGUGCGUAAUAGCUCACUAGUCGAGUGACUCUGCGCCGAAAAUGUACCGGGGCUAAAUACACCACCGAAGCUGCGGAUUGAUACCGAAUGGUAUCAGUGGUAGGGGAGCGUUCUAAGGACAGUGAAGUCAGACCGGAAGGACUGGUGGAGUGCUUAGAAGUGAGAAUGCCGGUAUGAGUAGCGAAAGACGGGUGAGAAUCCCGUCCACCGAAUGCCUAAGGUUUCCUGAGGAAGGCUCGUCCGCUCAGGGUUAGUCAGGACCUAAGCCGAGGCCGACAGGCGUAGGCGAUGGACAACAGGUUGAUAUUCCUGUACCACCUCUUUAUCGUUUGAGCAAUGGAGGGACGCAGAAGGAUAGAAGAAGCGUGCGAUUGGUUGUGCACGUCCAAGCAGUUAGGCUGAUAAGUAGGCAAAUCCGCUUAUCGUAAAGGCUGAGCUGUGAUGGGGAAGCUCCUUAUGGAGCGAAGUCUUUGAUUCCCCGCUGCCAAGAAAAGCUUCUAGCGAGAUAAAAGGUGCCUGUACCGCAAACCGACACAGGUAGGCGAGGAGAGAAUCCUAAGGUGUGCGAGAGAACUCUGGUUAAGGAACUCGGCAAAAUGACCCCGUAACUUCGGGAGAAGGGGUGCUUUCUUAACGGAAAGCCGCAGUGAAUAGGCCCAAGCGACUGUUUAGCAAAAACACAGCUCUCUGCGAAGCCGUAAGGCGAAGUAUAGGGGGUGACACCUGCCCGGUGCUGGAAGGUUAAGGAGAGGGGUUAGCGUAAGCGAAGCUCUGAACUGAAGCCCCAGUAAACGGCGGCCGUAACUAUAACGGUCCUAAGGUAGCGAAAUUCCUUGUCGGGUAAGUUCCGACCCGCACGAAAGGUGUAACGAUUUGGGCACUGUCUCAACCAGAGACUCGGUGAAAUUAUAGUACCUGUGAAGAUGCAGGUUACCCGCGACAGGACGGAAAGACCCCGUGGAGCUUUACUGUAGCCUGAUAUUGAAUUUUGGUACAGUUUGUACAGGAUAGGCGGGAGCCUUUGAAACCGGAGCGCUAGCUUCGGUGGAGGCGCUGGUGGGAUACCGCCCUGACUGUAUUGAAAUUCUAACCUACGGGUCUUAUCGACCCGGGAGACAGUGUCAGGUGGGCAGUUUGACUGGGGCGGUCGCCUCCUAAAGUGUAACGGAGGCGCCCAAAGGUUCCCUCAGAAUGGUUGGAAAUCAUUCGUAGAGUGCAAAGGCAUAAGGGAGCUUGACUGCGAGACCUACAAGUCGAGCAGGGACGAAAGUCGGGCUUAGUGAUCCGGUGGUUCCGCAUGGAAGGGCCAUCGCUCAACGGAUAAAAGCUACCCCGGGGAUAACAGGCUUAUCUCCCCCAAGAGUCCACAUCGACGGGGAGGUUUGGCACCUCGAUGUCGGCUCAUCGCAUCCUGGGGCUGUAGUCGGUCCCAAGGGUUGGGCUGUUCGCCCAUUAAAGCGGUACGCGAGCUGGGUUCAGAACGUCGUGAGACAGUUCGGUCCCUAUCCGUCGUGGGCGUAGGAAAUUUGAGAGGAGCUGUCCUUAGUACGAGAGGACCGGGAUGGACGCACCGCUGGUGUACCAGUUGUUCUGCCAAGGGCAUAGCUGGGUAGCUAUGUGCGGAAGGGAUAAGUGCUGAAAGCAUCUAAGCAUGAAGCCCCCCUCAAGAUGAGAUUUCCCAUAGCGUAAGCUAGUAAGAUCCCUGAAAGAUGAUCAGGUUGAUAGGUUCGAGGUGGAAGCAUGGUGACAUGUGGAGCUGACGAAUACUAAUAGAUCGAGGACUUAACCAU
RNAcentral lists this ribosomal RNA (2909 nucleotides) under Bacillus cereus. RNAcentral describes it as "bacterial LSU rRNA". It matches the Rfam family "Bacterial large subunit ribosomal RNA". The record is from RNAcentral. Lineage: Bacteria; Bacillati; Bacillota; Bacilli; Caryophanales; Bacillaceae. RNAcentral also lists the same sequence under 4 other names.